UCGCCUGUUUAUUCAAAAACAUGUCUGUAUGAUUGGUGUAUAGAGUCUGGCCUGCCCACUGAUUUUAAGAGAUUAAAGGGCCGCGGUAUAUUGACCGUGCGAAGGUAGCAUAAUCAUUAGUCUUUUAAUUGGAGGCUGGAAUGAAUGGUUUUACAAGAAGUUUACUGUCUUUAUAUUAAAAUUUGAACUUUACUUUUAAGUGAAAAGGCUUAAAUAAUUUAAAGGGACGAUAAGACCCUAUAAAACUUUACAUUGAAAAGUAUUUUAGUGAAUUAUUUGUAUAAAUUUAAAGAAGCUUUUGGUAUGUUUUGUUGGGGCGACAAGAAUAAAAUAGGAAUUGUAACUGUUAGAUGAGAAAACAAAUAAUUUUUGAAAGGUUAAUAAUGGUCCUUAAAAAAGAGUAGAAGAUUAAGUUACUUUAGGGAUAACAGCGUUAUUUUUUUGGAGAGUUCUUAUCAAUAAAAAAGAUUGCGACCUCGAUGUUGAAUUAAAAUUUCUUUAUAAUGUAGCAGUUAUAGGAGAAAGUCUGUUCGACUUUUAAAAUUUUACAUGAUUUGAGUUCAAACCGGUGUGAGCCAGGUUGGGUUUCUAUCUA
This 595-nucleotide ribosomal RNA is filed under the name Stereomastis sculpta. RNAcentral describes it as "partial small subunit ribosomal RNA". It matches the Rfam family "Archaeal large subunit ribosomal RNA", at positions 1888 to 2713 of the family's 2987-position model. Lineage: Eukaryota; Metazoa; Arthropoda; Malacostraca; Decapoda; Crangonidae. The record is from RNAcentral.